RNAcentral lists this small nucleolar RNA (104 nucleotides) under Propithecus coquereli (Coquerel's sifaka). RNAcentral describes it as "Small nucleolar RNA U13 (ENSPCOG00000002855.1)". It matches the Rfam family "Small nucleolar RNA U13". Lineage: Eukaryota; Metazoa; Chordata; Mammalia; Primates; Indriidae. The record is from Rfam by way of RNAcentral.
AUCCUUUUGUAGUUCAUAAGCAUGAUGAUUGGGUUUUCACGCGCAUGCGUGAGAUGUGCCUCCCACAAAUCUUGUUACGACGCCGGCACAUUACCCGUCUGACU